UCAGGAGGAACACCAAUGGCGAAGGCAGGUCUCUGGGCCAAUACUGACACUGAGGAGCGAAAGUCUGGGGAGCGAACAGGAUUAGAUACCCUGGUAGUCCAGACCGUAAACGGUGGGCACUAGUUGUGGGAACCUUCCACGGUUUCUGCGACGCAGCUAACGCAUUAAGUGCCCCGCCUGGGGAGUACGAUCGCAAGAUUAAAACUCAAAGGAAUUGACGGGGCCCCGCACAAGCAGCGGAGCAUGCGGCUUAAUUCGACGCAACGCGAAGAACCUUACCAAGGCUUGACAUAUAGGGAAAAGUGGCAGAGAUGUCAUGUCCGCAAGGGCUCUAUACAGGUGGUGCAUGGUUGUCGUCAGCUCGUGUCGUGAGAUGUUGGGUUAAGUCCCGCAAACGAGCGCAACCCUCGUUCUGUGUUGCCAGCAUUUAGUUGGGGACUCACAGGAGACUGCCGGGGUUAACUCGGAGGAAGGUGGGGAUGACGUCAAAUCAUCAUGCCCCUUAUGUCUUGGGCUGCACGCAUGCUACAAUGGCCGGUACA
RNAcentral lists this ribosomal RNA (542 nucleotides) under uncultured bacterium. RNAcentral describes it as "bacterial SSU rRNA". It matches the Rfam family "Bacterial small subunit ribosomal RNA", at positions 697 to 1241 of the family's 1533-position model. The record is from RNAcentral.